Molecule: small RNA, 769 nt
Filed under: Pongo abelii (Sumatran orangutan)
Lineage: Eukaryota; Metazoa; Chordata; Mammalia; Primates; Hominidae
Description: retained intron
Source: RNAcentral
AGCUCCCUGGGCUGCUACCAAACACGGCCCUAACUCCUCCAACCCCCUUGGUGGGCAUGUGUUCACUGUGGCAGGAGCUGACUCCAGACUAUAGCAUGGAGAGCCACCAGCGGGACCACGAGAACUACGUGGCGUGUUCACGCAGCCACCGGCGCCGAGCCAAGGCCCUGCUGGACUUUGAGCGGCACGACGAUGACGAGCUGGGCUUCCGCAAGAACGACAUCAUCACAGUGCGUGGGGCGCUGGACUACCAGGUCCUCAGGCUGUGGCGGGUUCCCCAGCCUCCCUCCACCAAGCCCCACCCCAACCCCUUUCCCUGUCAAGAGCUUCUCUUGUGAAGAUGUAGGGGGUCUUGGACUGGCCUAGUUGCUGAGGAGUCAUAUCGGGGGUGCAGGAGGCGCUGGCCCAGGGUACCCAGCUUUGGUUCCUGCUGUUUUUCCUCCUGUGCAGAUCGUGUCUCAGAAGGACGAGCACUGCUGGGUGGGGGAGCUCAACGGCCUACGAGGCUGGUUUCCAGCCAAGUUCGUGGAAGUCCUGGAUGAGCGCAGCAAAGAGUACUCCAUCGCGGGGGACGACUCGGUGACGGAGGGCGUCACAGACCUCGUGCGAGGGACCCUCUGCCCGGCCCUUAAGGCCCUGUUCGAACAUGGACUGAAGAAGCCAUCCCUGCUUGGGGGCGCCUGCCACCCCUGGCUGUUUAUCGAGGAGGCUGCAGGCCGGGAGGUCGAGAGAGACUUUGCCUCCGUGUAUUCCCGCCUGGUGCUCUGUA